UUUCCAUUUAUUUAUUUAUGUAUUUAUAUAUUUUUGUGAGACAGAGUCUCACUCUGUCACCCAGGCUGAAGUGCAGUGGUGCUAUCUUGGCUCACUGCAAUCUCUGCCUCCCAGAUUCAAGCGAUUCUCCUGCCUCAGCCUUCUGAGUAGCUAAGACUACAAGUGCAUACAACAACGCCUGGCUAAUUUUUGUAUUUUUAGUAGAGAUGGGGUUUCACCAUGUUGGCCAGGCUGAUCUCGAACUCCUGACCUCAGGUGAUCCACCCAUUUGGUCUCCCAAAUUGCUGGUAUUGGAUUACAGGCAUGAGCCACCACAUCCAGCCUUUUUUUUUUUUUUUCCAUUUAAUUGUGAUUCCCAGCCUACUUACCACUAUCCACUGUUAGAAUUUAUGCUCUGUGAGGACAGGGGCCAUGAACUACAUCUGCACUAUUUUUGGCAUUCUUUUUACUAAUUAUUUACUGAAUGUUUACUAAUUAUUUACUGAAUCAGUAGUCAAGUCCACGUAGGAACAAAUGAAUAAAACUUAAGUGUGGCUCAACUCUUGAGGAAUAUGAAACCACCUUUGCAAAAUUAUAAUUGAGGAAAUUACAACAAUGAACGAAAUCAGACUGGGAAAGCCUUUGUGGCUACCUGCUUAUGGUUUGGUGCCCCGCCCCACUCCAGCGAUGGAUCCAGAAGCUAGCCCAAGUGGCUGCCUAGUUCUCUUGGACUGGGGACUGGCUCUGGUACUCUCUCCACUGGCAGGCACUGCCAACCCAAUGUGCAUGCAUUUAAUUGCAGUGGAGAAAUAAUCCUGGAGAGAUGUCCUUUAACUGUAGCCCUAUCACAGGGCUUCUAUCUGUAGCUGCAUUAAAAGGUGUCUGGAUUGGUGAGUACCCUAGGUGCUCACCAAUGCCUCCUUCCUUCUCCUGCCAAUGCCUCCUUCCUUCUCCUGACUGGUUCUGUGGCCCCAUAGUGGGGUGUCUCUCUGUAGCCCCAUUGCAGGGUGUUAGGAUUGGUGAAUAUACUAGGCACUGCUAAUGCCUCCUUCCUUCUCUCGACUGCUCUGUAGCUCUAUGAUGGGGUGUCUUAGCCCCACUGCAGGGUGUCUGUUUGUAGCUCCACCACGGGGUAUAUGUUUGGCUCCACUGGGGUCUCGGUUGGCUCUAACUAGUAGGAAGAGUCUUGGUUCAGGAGACUUGUCCUCAAUCAGGACAAUUUUGAGAUUUCUCAGACAGAGAAUAGGAGGAUAGUUUAGAAGGGAUACUCUUGGAGUUCCUGUUUAGGGAUCAUCUGAUUUGGAAGGCCUUCUGUCUGUCUCAUCUUUGUGUGUGUUUGUACAUGUGGAGGGAAUCUCAGAAGGAAUUGCUGAAGGAAGUCCAGCAGGCCUAACUCAGAGAACUCUUCUUAUUUGGUUACAUUCGAUAAGACCUGGAGAAAGCUCAACAGGCCUGUCUCAUGGUGACUAUCUGCUCUUUGCCUUACGCAGAGACCCAAUUGUGAAUUAUUGUUCUGAGGUCGUCCCUCCCCACCUGGAGUGGAUCAAAGACAACAGGGACCAACAGGAAAAAGUCUGAGCUUUGCCAGGUUGAUAUUGGGUGCUGAACGAGGUGACUAGUGUCUGUUUUGUUAUGUGAAUUCUGCUGGGAUAGAAAAUGUUAAAUGGUUCCCCAUGCAGCCGGUUGGGCAGCAUCUUGCAUUUUAAGAAUCUUGCCUAUGUUUCCAUAAAACAGAAAAUGGUGAUUUUUCUCUUGUAAAGUGGCUUGAACCCCACAACUAUGGUGAGGUGAGCAGGGUGAUCAGAAGCCAUUCCAUUCUUCUGGAAGUUGCAGAGGAAGGGAACCCAGAAAUCUGAUAUGCCAGCAAAAAGAGUAAGAAAUUCUUACCAGCUAGGUUUCUGGUCUCUCUCUCUUUCUCCAUCAGUGUAAACAGUAAACAUCACUAUAUGUUUCUCUGUAAAGGUUUGAUUAAUAGAAAAAAGAAUUUACAAGACUAGUCUUGCUAAGAAUUUGUCUUUCAGUGUUCGGUAAUGGAAAGAGGGGUAUCACAAGAUAGAACAUGAGUUUAGGACCCCUAUAAGCCUGCUUUUCAAGCCAGCUCAGCAGGCUGGCCAAUUAUAAACUUCGUUAUGGGUCCCCGAAACGAAUACUGUAUGAAAUUUCUCUGUCUUGUUUGGCCUCCUUAAAAGCUUAAUCUUGUGACCAUAUGUGGAUACUUUCUUUUGGUUUAUACCAUCCAGCCCUAAAAAUUUUUCUUGAGCAGUUAAAAGCCUUGGCAAGGUUAAAAGUGGCUUCUCUAGUCUCCUUCUUGGAAUAGCAAUAGAAACUGCUCAAUGCUAUAAUUCAGUAGCUAAGACUUUGCCUUUUGACAAUAGAGGCCCAGGCUCUAUUCUUGGCUUCUGGAAUGAUUUCUUUUUUUUUUUUUUAAAUUUGAAAAAAAGUGUUUUUUUUUUUUUAUUAUUAUACUUUAAGUAUUAGGGUACAUGUGCACAAUGUACAGGUUAGUUACAUAUGUAUACAUGUGCUGUGCUGGUGUGCUGCACCCAUUAACUCAUCAUUUAGCAUUAGGUAUAUCUCCUAAUGCUAUCCUGGUUUGCUAUUUGCAUAACUUUGCCAUUUAAUGAGGUUCCCCCACAACCCCAUGGAUAGCUUCUGAUUUCCUGUCUUGAAUUUUCCUUUCUCUGAACUACCUUGGGGAAAUUCUAAGUCUUCUAAAAAGAAACUGCUUACCACAUCUUUGAAGCACCUGGGAGGUUACUUUUGAUAAAGUUCAAAAGCCAGAAAUGUUGGCCACAUGGCUAAAGUUGGGUAAUAAGAAAUUUAAAAGGAUUUUUUUAAGAGCACUGUGGUUAAAAGUCAGCUUAAUUAAAGGUGAAUAAACAAGUUAUGGAUACAUUUAAAAGGCCUUUAUGUUUUUCUCUUCUUGGAUCUCGUUUUUCUGUGAAAAGGUUUUAUUCUUCUUAGUAAACCGAAUUAUUUUUCUCCAUUUUUUGUCUUGCCACUCUUAAUGCACACAUGAGAGGCCCUAAGAUAACUUCUGGUAGCCUGGGACUCCUUGAGAAAAACAGAGUAGGCACCACAGACCCCAUUUUGGGAAAAACAAACAACAAAAAACAAACAAAAAACCCUCUGUUUUAUUCAUGACACCCAAGGAAUUAAAAGUAGAUGGAUCCCUCUUAAAAUCAAAGGCUCUGUUCUGUUUUGCAUUGUGUUGUCUGACAGUGCGAGUUUUGGGGAUAUCAGAAAUUACUUUGCAUUAUGAGAUAGCUUUCGUAUGUAAUAACUAGGUAGGAAAUAUACUUUAAGGGAUGGCUAAUAGUAUUUUUGGAGGGAAACUUGGCUGUUUGCACACUUGGGUCAGAGAAGCAUGCUCCGGGCCACCUUGAAGAUAUGGAAACAUCCCCAUGCCUGACUGAGAGAUGAGAAUUCCAUGGGGGAUGGGCUGAUUUCAAAAUGGACUGAUUGGCUUUAAGUUGCCUUGCAAUAAAAUGCAGGUUAGAAGCACUGCACUCUCUUCUCCAGUAGUAUUUCCUUCCUUUUGGGGAUCCAGGAUCCAGUAUAAAAUGGUAUCCUUCAUUUUGGAGAUCUGUCUUUGCCUUCAGCUGUGCCUGCUUAUUUAGCUCAGAAAAAUAUGCAUGCUUUCCUGGCCCUGUUCCUCCAAGGGCUCCACUCUGAAGCCAGUAAUCCAGCUAACAACUGGCAAAUAAAAAAUCUUACAAGUGCUGAAUUUUCUGUCUGUCUGUGUAUUUAUAUAGACUUCUAUAAUUCUGAUAUAAUUUACUGUACAUUAUUAGUAAUUAUAAUUGUUAUGUAAAAUUGUUGGAUGCCACAGAAGUAAGCAAAAUUCCUAGUCAAGUAUAGCUUUAAUAGUGUCUAUAGACUUUUGUGUUCCACAGACAUUUUGUCUUGCUUUUGUCCUUUUCAAAAGGCAGUUUAUAAUCAGAUAUAGGACUCUUAGUGCAGGUCUCAGAUAACUUUAAAAAUUGUGCUAUUGGAAUAGAGGAAAAAAACGAAACUUCCAGGACUCUCAUGGAGAGCUGAUAUCUUAAAUGUCACCAAUCCUUUUGUUUUCAGAGUCAAGAUAACUUAUUUUUUUAGAGAUAUUUGCAACUUUUAACAAGUAGGUAAAAUACACUCCUGUGAAAAAAUUUUGAAGCAUAUUUGUUUCUCUCUCCCUGAUUUCUCCAGAAUUUGGAAACUCUUUGUAAGUAUUCUCAAUUUAUGGCAGCAUGGUUAAUUCCAUAAGUACAAUAAAAAUCUGUUUUCUUUUGUAACACGACACAAUUGGAGAAAUUGGUUAUUUUACCAAGGCUUUGACUGGAAUGGCACACUUCCCUUAAAGAAUCAAAGUUGACUUAUAGAGCCAAUAAAAGCCCCUUGGGGAAUCUGGCUUCAUACCUUGUCUACACAGAGUCCUUGUACAAGGUUCCUGAUCUGUAGUAAGUAAAGAAUAUCACUUUCUAACAGGUUCAUGAGCUCCAAGUUAUCUUGGGACCUUGAGAGGAGAGGAAUUUACCCAACUCAUAGGUAUUUAAGGGUACAAAUGCAUGGCUGGGAUCGGCUCUUAAAAAGUCUUAUCUGAGAUUCCUCAUGGAACAGAGUUCCAUCAAAGCCAAUUUAAACAAAAAACAGCCUAAAUAACACUUCCCUCUCCCAAACAGCCGGAUUUGCAUGAAUUACUCUUACGCCAUUGCAAUUCCCCUGUCUUGAUAAAUUGGCUCUGUCUAAGGAGUCGGCAAGGUGAACCCACCUGGUGAUUACAAAUUCUUAAUAGCAAACCAGGUAAGUUUGAUUUCAUUUAACAGACGAUAGUUGCGUGUUGGAUGUUUCAACAGAAGGAAGGCAUGUUCAUUUCCCUAUCCAUUCAGGUAUAUUUAAUGAGCAUAAAUUCUUGAAACUUACUCUGCUAUUAUUGGGGGUACCACUUUGGAAGCAUGUCUGUACACUUUAAAGUUUGCAGUCAAGUGGAAAAAUAGAUAUGCAAAUAAGUAAAAUGAAAAAUAUUAUAAGAAUGUAAAUAAUUAGCAGAAGCUCAAGAAAAGCAUAAGCAAAGUGUGUCUCAGGCAGAAGACAGCUGUCCAGAGAAGGGAGGGCUUGGCACUGAAACCUGAAGGACUGGUAGGAAUUUGUCCCCUGGAAAACUAGGAGCUAGUCUCUUGGCAGAGAGCAGUAAGGAAAGAAUCACAAAGGCUUGAGGGUGUCUCAUAUAACCAGAAAACUGGGAGAGCUGGGCUUUAGAAAAAAUAGAAAUGUGAGGCCAGGACUGAAGUGGCAGUGAUCAGAGAGAGGGCAAGUAUUUGAAGAUGUUUGCAGAAAGUUAGAUUGAUGGCAGAGUUUGAGAGUCAUGCCAACCUGAGACCACUCCUCUCAACAGAAUUUUGACCUAAAGCAUAUUUUGAAGACGUUCUAAAAGUCUGCCAAUGUGAAGACAUCCAGGGUCCUGGGAUAUUCCUGGUCUGAGGAUAAUGAGAGCAAGACGUGUGCGGCUUGACUUGUCCAUUAUUGGAUAAAUCUGUAGCCUCACCUAUGGAUGAAGCCGCAGAAGAGGAAAUGCACUCUGAGGAGGACAAUCCUGAUCUACAUCAUUAAUACAGCUAAGUGAGUUUGCUCCUAAUCGAGCACAUUUCAAGCAAGAGAUUUCCAGGAACACUGGAACACACAGCGUGAAGCUUUUCAGAUGGUUCUCAAGAGCUUCAGCAAAGGAGCUACCACAUACUCAGAACAGGAAAUGAGCUUUAAUCAGAAAAGUGCCACUGAGGAUGAAGGAAAAGAAUCAAAGGAGAGUCAAGGGACAUGCAAUAGGGACCCUGCUACAGAAAUAUGGCCCUGAAACCAGAGAUAAGAAAGUUUUCUUCAAAUUAACAUGACUACUAAAGAAAUCAAAUGUUACGCACGAAGACAGGCCCUAGGUGAACUUGAGUGUGAGUCACUGACCCUUACCUGCUGAGAGUCCCAGCGUCUCUGCCAGGUAACUGUCUUCUUCACAAAUGUAUGUGAUGCAAAUUUCACAUGCCCGUGCCCCUUUCGGAAUAAGAGAGUCAAGCAAAGCUCGGGUCUUAUCCAUAACUGUAGCAUUUUCACGUUUUACUUUCUCUGUCUCUUCCUUGUUCAGCACCCUUGUCUGUAAUAAUUCAUCCAGUAAGCCAUUUAUCGUGCCUUCACCCAUGGAACGGAUAAACAGCUUUCUCUUCUCCUUCAGGACCUUGUCUAUUUGGAGCACAAGGAUUUCUCACAUCAUGAAAACGGCCUCAUAUUCCUCUCAUGUAAUCAACAGAAACUGACCUCAUUAGAUUUCAUCAGUGAAAUGUCCCCCUCCUCACAGUUGGGUAAUCCCUCUUCUUACUGUAUCGCUGUCCUACUUGUUUCCCUCAAUAGUCUCCAUGCAUGUGCAUGGAGUGGCCUGAAGACUGAGUUUACCAUUUCCACAUCAGUCCCUGGAAAGCAGAGAUCAUCCUCUUAUGUCGCAUGUUUAUUUAACUCUGAUUAAUAAAGUAAUGAAGCAGAAAUAGCCCAUUUCAUUUAGGAGCCACUGCUGCUAGUAUUCCUACUGUGCCAAUUCUGUACCCUCUGUCAGACUUUCAACAUGUAAAUAAGAGUUUAAUUAAGAUUGCAAAAUGACAUCAGGCUUCCGCUAAAGCCUCAGUUCCUUUCUGGGCUUUCCUUUCCUUUCUAAAGUCUGCAAGAAUCUUCUAGUUCCUUCUCUCCUCCCUCUCCCCACUUUUCCUCACUUCUACUCAAGUAAACUUCCACAGAUGCUAAUUAUGGCUUCCAGAAGAGCCAGCGCCUUCCAAAACUCUUUCUUCCCAGGGACCUUUUCUUGGAACAGUAAAAGACUCACCGGCCAUGGCUUUUCUCUCCUCCCCUUCUAGUGUGACUGAAACUGAAAGUAUGCUUCACCUUCCUUUUUGGCAGGGCCUGUACGCGUAUUGGGAAAUACUCACUGUGCAUGCAUAUGCAUAUCUUUAUUUUUCUUCCCAUUAAAGAAUCAGAACUGUAGCCUGCAUCGGGUAGCGUAUCCAUGGGAAAUUUUCUUCACCAGCCCUUGGAUAGAUCACGGUAGGAGGGGAAUGGGGCUUGGAGAGUAAGACAGGAUUGAAAAAGUACGUGUACAAUUAAAUUCACACAAUGAAGAGUUUCUCAAUCAUUAGAAAGCUUGACGGAGAAAAGUAACACAACCUUUGGAGUAUGUGAACCACUGUUCCCCUGACCCCACCUCAUAGCUCUUGGGAAAGUUGUAAGUAAUGUAUGUCCCUGUGAAACAUUUUUGCUUUAAGAAAUGGAAACAUUUUUCAGCAGAAUUGAAGCUUUUCUUAUUUAAUGUCCUUCUUUUCACAUUGCUUUUUUCUUUCUUUCUUUCUUUCUUUCUUUUCUGAUACAGGGUAUCAUUCUGUUGUGCAGGCCAGAAUGCAGUUAUUCGACCUUGGCUCACUGCAGCCUCCACUUCCCAGGCUCAGAUGAUUCUUCCAACUCAGCCUCCCAAAUAGCUGCAAUUACUGGCACAUGCCACCAUGGCCAGCUAAUAUUUGUAUCUCUUGUAAAGACAGGGUCUCCCUGUGUUUCCUAGGCUUGUCUUCAGCUCCCAGGCUCAAGCAAGGUGCCCACCUUGGCCUCCCAAAUUGCUAGGAUUACAGGCAUGAGCCACCCACCCAUCCUGGAGGGUUUAUUUUUGAGGGAAAUUGCAUUAUAGAGGCCCAGAGCAUAGGCUCUGGAAUCAGAAUGUUGAACUUAGCAUUUUAAACUUCCCUUCCUCAGCAAGAUAUUGAACUUCCCUAUGCAUUAGUUCCCCUGUAUGUGAAAUAAUUUUAUUAAUAGUAUGUACCUACAUAGUUUUGAGCAUUAAGUGAGAGAAAAUGUGGAAAAUGCGUGGAACAUAGCUUGGCAAAUGGUAAGCAAAUAAUAAGUGAUAAUACUGUAAUUAAUACAAAUGUUUAAGGUUAGAAAAAUAAUCAAGGAUGAUUAUUUGCAGAUUAUCUAGCUAAGUUUAUCUUUUGUUAGAAUCCUCAAGCAGUGCAUCUAGUCAUUCAUUUAGCAAACAUAUAAGGACGACAUUGCUCUAGGUGCCAGAGGUUCAGUCAAAAUAUAUCACGGUCCUUUCCCCUUUGGUCUCACAUUCAAGAGGGGAAGACAAACGUGAAGGGUGGUGAUGUGGUCUGUCUCCGUUUCCCUACUCAAAUCUCACCUUGAAUUGUAAUAAUCCUCAUGUGUUAUGGGAGAUAUCUGGUGGUAUGUAAUUGAAUCAUGGGUGCUAUUUUUUUUCAUGCUGUUCUCUUGAUAAUGAAUGUCUCAUGAGAUCCGAUGGUUUUAUAAAAGGGAAUUCCCCUGUUCAUACCCUCUUGCCUGCACCCAUGUAAGACGUGUCCUUGCUCCUCUUUUGCCUUUUGCCAUGAUUCUGAGGCCUCCCCAGCCAUGUGGAACUGUGAGUCUAUUAAAUCUCUUUUUUGUUCUAUA
Long non-coding RNA from Pongo pygmaeus (Bornean orangutan), 8427 nucleotides. RefSeq lists it as uncharacterized. NCBI's taxonomy places the organism in Eukaryota, Metazoa, Chordata, Mammalia, Primates, Hominidae. The transcript has 5 exons. The record is from RefSeq and is a predicted model, not a curated record.